RNAcentral lists this ribosomal RNA (328 nucleotides) under uncultured eukaryote. Its description in RNAcentral is "partial 18S ribosomal RNA". It matches the Rfam family "Eukaryotic small subunit ribosomal RNA", at positions 1470 to 1796 of the family's 1831-position model. The record is from RNAcentral.
CCCUUAGAUGUUCGGAGCUGCACGCGCGCUACACUGAAGGAAGCAGCGUGUUAGAGCACCUGGCCCGCGAGGGCUGGGUAAUCCGGUGAAUGUCCUUCGUGAUUGGGAUAGGGACUUGUAAUUAUUUCCCUUGAACGAGGAAUACCUAGUAAGUGCGAGUCAUCAGCUCGCAUUGAUUACGUCCCUGCCCUUUGUACACACCGCCCGUCGCACCUACCGAUUGAAUGGUUCGGUGAAGAUCUCGGACUUCGAUAUUUAUUCUUUAUUGAGUUUAUAUUGUGGGAAGUUAUCUAAACCUCAUCAUUUAGAGGAAGGUGAAGUCGUAACA